CACAUGCAAGUCGAGGGCGAGCAUAAAAGUAGCAUACUUGGUGGCGACCGGCGCACGGUGAGUAACGCGUAUGCAACCUACCUAUCAGAGGGAAUAACCCGGCGAAAGUCGGACUAAUACCGCAUAAAACAGGGGCACCGCAUGGUGAUAUUUGUUAAAGAAAUUCGCUGAUAGAUGGGCAUGCGUUCCAUUAGGUAGUUGGUGAGGUAACGGCUCACCAAGCCGACGAUGGAUAGGGGAACUGAGAGGUUGGUCCCCCACACUGGUACUGAGACACGGACCAGACUCCUACGGGAGGCAGCAGUGAGGAAUAUUGGUCAAUGGGCGGGAGCCUGAACCAGCCAAGUCGCGUGAAGGAAGAAGGAUCUAUGGUUCGUAAACUUCUUUUGCAGGGGAAUAAAGUGCAGGACGUGUCCUGUUUUGUAUGUACCCUGAGAAUAAGGAUCGGCUAACUCCGUGCCAGCAGCGGC
RNAcentral lists this ribosomal RNA (470 nucleotides) under uncultured bacterium. RNAcentral describes it as "bacterial SSU rRNA". It matches the Rfam family "Bacterial small subunit ribosomal RNA", at positions 52 to 518 of the family's 1533-position model. The record is from RNAcentral.